CCUACGGGUGGCUUCAGUGGGGAAUAUUGGGCAAUGGGCGCAAGCCUGACCCAGCAACGCCGCGUGAAGGAAGAAGGCUUUCGGGUUGUAAACUUCUUUUGUCAGGGACGAAGCAAGUGACGGUACCUGACGAAUAAGCCACGGCUAACUACGUGCCAGCAGCCGCGGUAAUACGUAGGCGGCAAGCGUGAUCCGGAUUUAUUGGGUGUAAAGGGCGUGUAGGCGGGAAUGCAAGUCAGUUGUGAAAACUAUGGGCUCAACCCAUAGCCUGCAUUUGAAACUGUAUUUCUUGAGUGCUGGAGAGGUAAACGGAAUUCCGGGUGUAGCGGUGAAAUGCGUAGAUAUACGGAGGAACACCGGUGGCGAAGGCGGAUUGCUGGACAGUAACUGACGCUGAGGAGCGAAAGCGAGGGUAGCAAACAGGAUUAGAUACCCGAGUAGUC
Molecule: ribosomal RNA, 443 nt
Filed under: uncultured bacterium
Lineage: Bacteria
Description: partial 16S ribosomal RNA
Rfam family: Bacterial small subunit ribosomal RNA
Source: RNAcentral